UUUCACUCCACGUAGUCCCUACCCUCAGGACUGGUGGGAGAAGAGGCUGGCUCAGUGCCUGGCACUUAGUAAGCACGCAGCACAUGCCAGCCGCUGCUGGUACUGCUCUCAUUUCCAAGAGCCUGCUACGGGUGAGGUGCGUGCCGGGUGCUUUGGCACGGGGAGCCUGGUAGCCCUGGGUCUCUCCUCUCUCAAAUGAUACAGUCCAAGCACCUGGAUGAUGAGUAUGAGAGCAGCGAGGAGGAGAGAGAGACUCCCGCGGUCCCACCCACCUGGAGAGCAUCACAGCCCUCAUUGACGGUGCGGGCUCAGUUGGCCCCUCGGCCCCCGAUGGCCCCGAGGUCCCAGAUACCCUCAAGGCACGUACUGUGCCUGCCCCCCCGCAACGUGACCCUUCUGCAGGAGAGGGCAAAUAAGUUGGUGAAAUACCUGAUGAUUAAGGACUACAAGAAGAUCCCCAUCAAGCGCGCAGGUAGGCAGCCUGUGCCCCCUUCACCAUCCCCUAGUCUG
RNAcentral lists this long non-coding RNA (510 nucleotides) under Homo sapiens (human). RNAcentral's name for it is "non-protein coding lnc-CENPVL2-2:1". The record is from RNAcentral. Lineage: Eukaryota; Metazoa; Chordata; Mammalia; Primates; Hominidae.